CACAAUCCGUUUCAAUCCUUGUCAUCUUUGGCAAUAUGCUUGUAUUAAGACACUAUUACAGUCAUUUGUGAAGUAUACUACGCUAUUGUGAUGUUUUUGGCGUUUUUGUCUGUAUGGAAAGUUAACUGAUACGAUUGUUAGAUCAUGCUGUGUGAUCUGACAAGCUGUUUGUCUUGCAUUCAAAUAUCCACUCUUAAACAGUAGGCUAGCUUAUCUUGUGCAACAUCUUUAGGAGUAAAAAAAAGUUGCCUUAAGGUUUAUCCAGUCUGAAGUGUAAAUUACCAGCAUAAUUAUUUUAAACAUAGUUUAACACCUGCUGCUGUUUAGCUUAGCAGCUAGCUAUUGCUCUAUAGCCUGCUAUUGCCCUGUAAUGCCCCACAUGUUACUCAAAAUAUGUAUCUUAUUUUUUGUAAUGGGCGUCACUAUUGGCCAGUCCUGAAUAUCACCUUUGAAAAGCCAUGUUUGCCGAUAUUGUGAGAAAAGGUUCACCUCUGUUUUUCAACUUGACAGAUGGUUGCCCCCUGUGCGAGUGGAAGAUGUGACUUUGAAGACAGUCAUUGUAAAAGGUGCAAAAGGCUUGUCUAAGAUAAGCUGGCAGUCUACACCGCAUGGCCUGCGUUGCUGACAUUGAGUGAAGUUAAUGCAGAGUUCCUGUGCCUGACAUAUACUUGAGGAAGCAUCUUGGAGGUUGUCAAGGAGAAUGGAGGCAUUGCCAGAAGGAAGGACUAGAGUGGCGAAGUGAUCCAAAGGCAGACUGCACAUCUACGUAUAUGGUUUGCAAGGAACAUCCCGUGCCAGAGACUGUGAUACAAGGCAUGGAGCUGUACAGUGAACUCGGAGCAUCUCUUGUGCAUGUGUGAUGCUCUUUGGACUCGGUUACCGGUAUAUACCCUCAAUCUCAACUCUGUGGAUUUGGAUUUACAAUGGAUUGGAAAAUAUGCCCAAAAGGUUCAAUCACUAUAAACUACAGUAAAUAUGUUGGACACUGGCAAUCUCAGGUUCUAAGCCAUUGUAUAAAAGGACAAUCCAUCGCAUUUCUAUGCAUACUUUUCUGUGCUGUUCUCUGAUCUGAGUUGAUGAUUUUUUUUGUCCUUAUCUUAGCUCAGCAUGGCAUUGAGUAUCAUUGAGGGGUUUUUUUCUAAGCUUUUUCUAUGCAGAUUAAAAGAUGAGCACUAUAAUGAAAGGCGUAAUAACGCCUCAGUAGCACUUCAUGGACACAUUGAUAUCAUAAUUAAAAACAUUUCUCUCUCCCUCUCCUCCCCCACUUUGGGAAAGAAUCAAAGAGUCAAAAGUGCUCCUGUGGGCAGUUAAUUCUAAAAUGUCCAUUCACAAAUAACAUCUUUUUCAUGAAUGUCUAAGUAAAUAAGUGAGUAAAUAGACACAUACUGUUCUGUUGAGUAUGUUUUUCGGCCAGAGAUAUCUGACUGCAUUCAAAAUGGUGGAUUAACAUGCAGAGGCCACAUAAAUUAAUGUGGUACAGUACACUGAAUUUCAGGUUUUCUGUUUAAUUUCUGUUUAAUCAUACGAUUAUAUUGUCUAGAUUUUGGUGUUUUAUUAUCGUUUGACUGCAUGUUUGUCCAGCUG
This is a long non-coding RNA of Engraulis encrasicolus (European anchovy), 1584 nucleotides long. RefSeq lists it as uncharacterized. NCBI's taxonomy places the organism in Eukaryota, Metazoa, Chordata, Actinopteri, Clupeiformes, Engraulidae. The transcript has 4 exons. The record is from RefSeq and is a predicted model, not a curated record.